This 357-nucleotide long non-coding RNA is filed under the name Lathyrus oleraceus (garden pea). RNAcentral describes it as "Pisum sativum (pea) long non-coding RNA (PSAT_LNC027141)". The record is from RNAcentral. Lineage: Eukaryota; Viridiplantae; Streptophyta; Magnoliopsida; Fabales; Fabaceae.
UGAUUGUCCAUUGAGGAAUCAAGUGUAAGUCCAUUCAUUGGCCUUUGUUCCUAUGAUUUGGUAGGAGUCGAGUGUAAGACCAUUUAUUGGCAACUUGUUUCCUUUUGCUUAUUGCAUGCUGUUUGUGUGUUGUAUGUGAGGAAUCAAUUGUAAGUCCAUUUAUUGGCAUUUGUUUCCCAUGAUCAUUUAUGUGGAGAUUAGAAUAAGUCCAGAUAGAUUGGCAUCUGAUAUCCAUGUUUUGUUUGUUUUGUGAGAUUGGUGUAAGUCCAGUUGAUUGGCAUCCGGUAUCCAUCCUUUGUUUUGUUUUAGGAGAUUAGUGUAAGUCCAGAUAGAUUGGCAUCUGAUAUCCAUGUUUUG